AGGCACUACCCUGUGAUUUCCUGGUUAGAAUACUUGGCUUUUGCCUUCUCCCAUCUGGAUGCACCAGAAGAGGGAACGGGACUGGGGACAACAAAGGAUUAACGAAGAUUUCAAAGCUGGGAGUUGUAAAGUGGGAAUUGCUAAUGAAGAAGGCUCUUGGCAUUUGGAUCCCCAUCUCCAGCUCUCCAAUAAGCCAGAGCAGGAGGGAACAAAGGGGCACCCGGAAGGGAGAAGAGGAGACUCGCAUAGACACUGCUCAGCAAUAGUGGGGAUCAAAAGAAGAAAAAGGUCGCUGCAGUGGAAGAAGAAAAAUCCAAGCUGUACUUUUUCCCCACCCCACGUGUGGGGGCGCUGCCCUCUCCCCAGCUGAGCCUGUGAAGGGGUGGCAGGACAAAAAGGGCAGCCACAAGGGUCUGCGAAGUCCACUCGAUGACCACGGAGGCCGCCUGAACAUGCUAAUGAGGGGAUGGCGGUGCUGCCAGCGAGUUGGGAGCCUCAGGCAGGUGGGCUCCUUGGUGGUGAUAGAUCCCAAUCUGAAUCAGGGCUCCCGCCUCACCUA
RNAcentral lists this long non-coding RNA (559 nucleotides) under Homo sapiens (human). RNAcentral's name for it is "HSALNT0241950". Lineage: Eukaryota; Metazoa; Chordata; Mammalia; Primates; Hominidae. The record is from RNAcentral.